This 497-nucleotide ribosomal RNA is filed under the name uncultured bacterium. RNAcentral's name for it is "partial 16S ribosomal RNA". It matches the Rfam family "Bacterial small subunit ribosomal RNA", at positions 28 to 507 of the family's 1533-position model. The record is from RNAcentral.
GAUGAACGCUGGCGGCGUGCCUAAUACAUGCAAGUCGAGCGAACGGACGAGAAGCUUGCUUCUCUGAUGUUAGCGGCGGACGGGUGAGUAACACGUGGAUAACCUACCUAUAAGACUGGGAUAACUUCGGGAAACCGGAGCUAAUACCGGAUAAUAUUUUGAACCGCAUGGUUCAAAAGUGAAAGACGGUCUUGCUGUCACUUAUAGAUGGAUCCGCGCUGCAUUAGAUAGUUGGUAAGGUAACGGCUUACCAAGGCAACGAUGCAUAGCCGACCUGAGGGAGUGUUCAGCCACACUGGAACUGAGACACGUUCCAGACUCCUACGGGAGGCAGCAGUAGGGAAUCUUCCGCAAUGGGCGAAAGCCUGACGGAGCAACGACGCGUGAUUGAUGAAGGUCUUCGGAUCGUAAAACUCUGUUAUUAGGGAAGAACAUAUGUGUAAGUAACUGUGCACAUCUUGACGGUACCUAAUCAGAAAGCCACGGCUAACUACGUG